AUGCACGCUGGCGGCGUGCCUCAUACAUGCCAGUCGAGCGCACAGAUGAGGAGCUUGCUCCUCUGACGUUAGCGGCGGACGGGUGAGUAACACGUGGAUAACCUACCUAUAAGACUGGGAUAACUUCGGGAAACCGGAGCUAAUACCGGAUAAUAUAUUGAACCGCAUGGUUCAAUAGUGAAAGACGGUUUUGCUGUCACUUAUAGAUGGAUCCGCGCCGCAUUAGCUAGUUGGUAAGGUAACGGCUUACCAAGGCAACGAUGCGUAGCCGACCUGAGAGGGUGAUCGGCCACACUGGAACUGAGACACGGUCCAGACUCCUACGGGAGGCAGCAGUAGGGAAUCUUCCGCAAUGGGCGAAAGCUUGACGGAGCAACGCCGCGUGAGUGAUGAAGGUCUUCGGAUCGUAAAACUCUGUUAUUAGGGAAGAACAAAUGUGUAAGUAACUAUGCACGUCUUGACGGUACCUAAUCAGAAAGCCACGGCUAACUACGUG
RNAcentral lists this ribosomal RNA (496 nucleotides) under uncultured bacterium. RNAcentral describes it as "partial 16S ribosomal RNA". It matches the Rfam family "Bacterial small subunit ribosomal RNA", at positions 29 to 507 of the family's 1533-position model. The record is from RNAcentral.